Molecule: ribosomal RNA, 496 nt
Filed under: uncultured bacterium
Lineage: Bacteria
Description: partial 16S ribosomal RNA
Rfam family: Bacterial small subunit ribosomal RNA
Source: RNAcentral
GAUGAACGCUGGCGGCGUGCCUAAUACAUGCAAGUCGAGCGAACGGACGAGAAGCUUGCUUCUCUGAUGUUAGCGGCGGACGGGUGAGUAACACGUGGAUAACCUACCUAUAAGACUGGGAUAACUUCGGGAAACCGGAGCUAAUACCGGAUGAUAUUUUGAACCGCAUGGUUCAAAAGUGAAAGACGGUCUUGCUGUCACUUAUAGAUGGAUCCGCGCUGCAUUAGCUAGUUGGUAAGGUAACGGCUUACCAAGGCAACGAUGCAUAGCCGACCUGAGAGGGUGAUCGGCCACACUGGAACUGAGACACGGUCCAGACUCCUACGGGAGGCAGCAGUAGGGAAUCUUCCGCAAUGGGCGAAAGCCUGACGGAGCAACGCCGCGUGAGUGAUGAAGGUCUUCGGAUCGUAAAACUCUGUUAUUAGGGAAGAACAUAUGUGUAAGUAACUGUGCACAUCUUGACGGUACCUAAUCAGAAAGCCACGGCUAACUACAU